UGGUGGAGUGAUUUGUCUGGUUAAUUCCGUUAACGAACGAGACCUUAACCUGCUAAAUAGUGACACGAAACUCGUAUUGCUUCUUGCAAUUGGCUGUUUUUGUUUAAGUGGUCUUUUUGAUCUCUUAAGCGAUGCAGCUGUUUGUGUAUCACUUCUUAGAGGGACCGUCGCGUGUAUAACGCGUGGAAGUUUGAGGCAAUAACA
RNAcentral lists this ribosomal RNA (204 nucleotides) under uncultured eukaryote. RNAcentral's name for it is "partial 18S ribosomal RNA". It matches the Rfam family "Eukaryotic small subunit ribosomal RNA", at positions 1299 to 1458 of the family's 1831-position model. The record is from RNAcentral.